RNAcentral lists this ribosomal RNA (748 nucleotides) under uncultured cyanobacterium. Its description in RNAcentral is "bacterial SSU rRNA". It matches the Rfam family "Bacterial small subunit ribosomal RNA", at positions 8 to 796 of the family's 1533-position model. The record is from RNAcentral. Lineage: Bacteria; Bacillati; Cyanobacteriota.
AGAGUUUGAUCCUGGCUCAGGAUGAACGCUGGCGGUCUGCUUAACACAUGCAAGUCGAACGGGCUCUUUCGGGAGCUAGUGGCGGACGGGUGAGUAACGCGUGAGAAUCUGCCAAAAGGACUGGGACAACCACUGGAAACGGUGGCUAAUACCGGAUGAGCCGCAACGUAAAAGAGGAAACUCGCCUUUUGAGGAGCUCGCGUCUGAUUAGCUAGUUGGUGAGGUAAGAGCUCACCAAGGCAUCGAUCAGUAGCUGGUCUGAGAGGAUGAUCAGCCACACUGGGACUGAGACACGGCCCAGACUCCUACGGGAGGCAGCAGUGGGGAAUUUUCCGCAAUGGGCGAAAGCCUGACGGAGCAAGACCGCGUGAGGGAGGAAGGCUCUUGGGUUGUAAACCUCUUUUGUCAGGGAAGAACACAAUGACGGUACCUGAAGAAUCAGCAUCGGCUAACUCCGUGCCAGCAGCCGCGGUAAUACGGGGGAUGCAAGCGUUAUCCGGAAUUAUUGGGCGUAAAGCGUCCGCAGGUGGCUUAUCAAGUCUGCUGUCAAAGAGUGGGGCUUAACCCCAUUAAGGCAGUGGAAACUGAGAAGCUAGAGUGCCGUAGGGGUAGAGGGAAUUCCCGGUGCAGCGGUGAAAUGCGUAGAGAUCGGGAAGAACAUCGGUGGCGAAAGCGCUCUACUGGACUGCAACUGACACUCAGGGACGAAAGCUAGGGGAGCGAAUGGGAUUAGAUACCCCAGUAGUCC